UGCAGUCGACGAGAUCCAGAGAAUCAAUUCUUCGGAAGAGAAACUCUGGAGGACAGUGGCGGGAGGGUGAGUAUCGCGUGGGUAAUCUGCCCUUGAGUUGGGUAUAGCCUUCCGAAAGGAGGGGUAAUACCGAAUACGGUCGUGCCGCGCGUGCGGCACUGUCUAAAGGUGGGGAUCCUUCGGGACCUGCCGCUCGAGGAUGAGCCCGCGUCCCAUCAGCUUGUUGGUGAGGUAACGGCUCACCAAGGCUUAGACGGGUAGCUGGUCUGAGAGGACGGUCAGCCACACUGGGACUGAGACACUGCCCAGACUCCUACGGGAGGCUGCAGUCGAGAAUCAUUCGCAAUGCACGAAAGUGCGACGAUGCGACGCCGCGUGCAGGAUGACGGCCUUCGGGUUGUAAACUGCUGUCAUGGGGGAACAAUGAGCGAGGCGCGAAUACCGCCACGCUGUGAUGGUACCCCAAGAGGAAGCCACGGCUAACUCUGUGCCAGCAGCCGCGGUAAUACG
Molecule: ribosomal RNA, 510 nt
Filed under: uncultured bacterium
Lineage: Bacteria
Description: bacterial SSU rRNA
Rfam family: Bacterial small subunit ribosomal RNA
Source: RNAcentral